Ictalurus punctatus (channel catfish) is the source of this 1775-nucleotide long non-coding RNA. The record is from Ensembl. Lineage: Eukaryota; Metazoa; Chordata; Actinopteri; Siluriformes; Ictaluridae.
GAGAGAGAGAGAGAGAGAGUGAGAGUGAAUGAGUAAGCAGACCUGGAUAAGCUCUGUUUCCAGGCAGGUUUUCAGCAGGCCAGACAACGCCCUGAGCCUCUAUUCCCCCUCCUCUCCAGUGAAAGAACACACAUUACGUAACAGCGAUCGACCAUGCAGAACGUGUUAGCUGACAGCCUGACUGAUCUAGUUCACAAGUGAGAACAGGAGCAGACUGGGUGGGGGAGGUGAGAAAUGGACACAGAAUGCUAAAAAGGACAAUAGCAACGGCGCCACUAAUAACAUGCCGUCACUCUAACUUGCAAGAACUUCAUGAGUAAUGGAUUUGACCCUACAAGACUACAAGCUGGCCAGAGUCCAAUAAAGUUAGGACUGAGAACUCAGUGGAUGCAGCCGUUCAAAACACCAGAUAAAGGUACCCUUAGAGGAUAUAGCUGCCCCGCAGACACCAACACAUCCACUACAGCUAGAAGCCCCUGUGCAUGCUUUUUAGAUAAUGGAGUGGAUGAGUAGCUGGGACAUUUGCUGAGUGGCAGCAUGAGAGUGUUACUGCUCUUCAUUACCACAUUAGCCAACAUCCUGGUGAAGAUUACAUGGAUAUAGAGAGGAUUAUGUAAAGAUGCAGCAUGAUGUAAGCGACUAAAUCGACUGUUCCAGGAUUGAAACCAUCCAGGUAUCUGUCCUCCACUCAGUGGAAAUGAUGGAAUGCAUGCCUGGGAUCUGCAAGGCAUCUAUCAGCAAACAGGACUGUUAGAUCUUCUAGCAUUACCAUCUACAAUGGGAGGGGGUUAUAGCGCAAGGAAACAUUCCAACCCUUGUAACAGAUCUGCACUUUUCCUUAUGCAGAGCAUAUCAGGUGACCUUUUGUUCGUAUACAGAAUGGACACCAGGUGAGAUCUGCGGUGGAAUUCCAACAUUUACGGUCAAGGUAGCAUACUGGGGCCUGAGUCAAAUAUAUCGAAAGUAUGAAACGAGUCAUUUUUAUAUGUCUGGGUUUUUUUUUCACUACUAAACUAUGCUUGUUUGAUAGAUCAGGCUGUACACAUUAUGUCCAUGUUUCUGGCACUAAUAACAAGCUAGUAUACAACAUCACCAACACUACCAUCUGAAUAAUUACACACCGAGGGCGGUAAAAUUCUCAGAGAUGAAUGGUCACCUCUCAAGCACUUUUGCUUUUGUUCUGGACAAGUAUUUGAAGUGGAAUAAAGGACAGCAUCCAAAUUACAAUAUGUUAAAUAUGUAUUUCUCAGAUGUUCAGUUCUUGAGCUAUGGAACCUUUUCUUAAUAACAGUAAUUAACAAAGUACGUCGUGCCUACUUCCGUAACAGCGUUCAAUUUAUGCCACAGUCACUAAAGAAAAAAUGUGAAGGAAAUCUUAAGAGUAAUGUUUCUUAUAAUCUAUUACAGCUCGACUCCAAGGGAACAAAACAGUAUGUUUAAUGUGAAAAGAGCUUAAGUCAGUGACACCAUCAAUGUUAGAAACUUUGGAACUGGAAAAUGGGCACUGAAUGGGUACAUCAAGUCCAAUCAAUCUCCUCACUGCUUUCUGCAUAAGUAAGCAUCUUAAGUGCCCAGAGCAUGGCCAAUGCAUCAGUUUCUCUCUUACAUACAACCUCUUUCUUCACUUACACUGUUCCACUACAAAUACAUUGUCCUACAAUUUAUUCAUUACAGAGAGUAUGGAAGACACUGUCUUUGUAAAAUGAUUAAGCAUUAUACAGAGCAUCAGAAUAAAUAUAUUUUCUCCUAGCUAAUCAAUUGAAUGAAGCAAGUGC